RNAcentral lists this ribosomal RNA (497 nucleotides) under uncultured bacterium. Its description in RNAcentral is "partial 16S ribosomal RNA". It matches the Rfam family "Bacterial small subunit ribosomal RNA", at positions 28 to 507 of the family's 1533-position model. The record is from RNAcentral.
GAUGAACGCUGGCGGCGUGCCUAAUACAUGCAAGUCGAGCGAACAGACGAGGAGCUUGCUCCUCUGACGUUAGCGGCGGACGGGUGAUUAACACGUGGAUAACCUACCUAUAAGACUGGGAUAACUUCGGGAAACCGGAGCUAAUACCGGAUAAUAUAUUGAACCGCAUGGUUCAAUAGUGAAAGACGGUUUUGCUGUCACUUAUAGAUUGAUCCGCGCCGCAUUAGCUAGUUGGUAAGGUAACGGCUUACCAAGGCAACGAUGCGUAGCCGACCUGAGAGGGUGAUCGGCCACACUGGAACUGAGACACGGUCCAGACUCCUACGGGAGGCAGCAGUAGGGAAUCUUCCGCAAUGGGCGAAAGCCUGACGGAGCAACGCCGCGUGAGUGAUGAAGGUCUUCGGAUCGUAAAACUCUGUUAUUAGGGAAGAACAAAUGUGUAAGUAACUAUGCACGUCUUGACGGUACCUAAUCAGAAAGCCACGGCUAACUACGUG